This 628-nucleotide ribosomal RNA is filed under the name uncultured prokaryote. Its description in RNAcentral is "bacterial SSU rRNA". It matches the Rfam family "Bacterial small subunit ribosomal RNA", at positions 28 to 656 of the family's 1533-position model. The record is from RNAcentral.
GAUGAACGCUAGCGGGAGGCCUAACACAUGCAAGCCGAGCGGUAGAGAUCUUUCGGGAUCUUAAGAGCGGCGUACGGGUGCGGAACACGUGUGCAACCUGCCUUUAUCUGGGGGAUAGCCUUUCGAAAGGAAGAUUAAUACCCCAUAAUAUACUGAAUGGCAUCAUUCGGUAUUGAAAACUCCGGUGGAUAGAGAUGGGCACGCGCAAGAUUAGAUAGUUGGUGAGGUAACGGCUCACCAAGUCUACGAUCUUUAGGGGGCCUGAGAGGGUGAUCCCCCACACUGGUACUGAGACACGGACCAGACUCCUACGGGAGGCAGCAGUGAGGAAUAUUGGACAAUGGGUGAGAGCCUGAUCCAGCCAUCCCGCGUGAAGGACGACGGCCCUAUGGGUUGUAAACUUCUUUUGUAUAGGGAUAAACCUACCCUCGUGAGGGUAGCUGAAGGUACUAUACGAAUAAGCACCGGCUAACUCCGUGCCAGCAGCCGCGGUAAUACGGAGGGUGCAAGCGUUAUCCGGAUUUAUUGGGUUUAAAGGGUCCGUANGCGGAUCUGUAAGUCAGUGGUGAAAUCUCACAGCUUAACUGUGAAACUGCCAUUGAUACUGCAGGUCUUGAGUGUUGNUGAA